This is a long non-coding RNA of Gordionus sp. m RMFG-2023, 245 nucleotides long. RefSeq lists it as uncharacterized. The transcript has 3 exons. NCBI's taxonomy places the organism in Eukaryota, Metazoa, Nematomorpha, Gordioida, Chordodea, Parachordodidae. The record is from RefSeq and is a predicted model, not a curated record.
UUUUUUAAAACUUGAUAUAUGCGUUAAUCCUUUCAGUUCAUAUUUGUUAGGGACUGGACAAUUUAUAAAAGGCUUUGUAUGAGUUCGGCUGACAAAUCGCAGAUGUGUUUCUAUUGGUUCGUACUGAAAGAUUCAUGCAUGUGUAUUCCCAAGCUGAUAGACCAGAAGACAAAGAAAAUCAGAAAAGCCGCCUGCCGAUAAAAUAAAACGCCCGUCAAUAAUAAAUUUUCACACGUGCAGAUGUC